Molecule: non-coding RNA, 253 nt
Organism: Podarcis lilfordi (Lilford's wall lizard)
Lineage: Eukaryota; Metazoa; Chordata; Lepidosauria; Squamata; Lacertidae
Source: the annotation of a GenBank genome assembly
UCUGUACAUCUCAAGAGCAACAAGAAUGUGUUCCUUCCCACCCUUUGCUUGAGAAGUAAAACUCUGCAAGGGUUUGGCUCCAGGGUCCCUUGAGAGAGAGUUGGUUCCGACUCUGAGCAAAGAGGAAGGAAAAGGGGGUCCUGCAAGGAGAGGAUGAGGGGAAGACCCCCUUUUCUAGGGGUGGGGGAGAGGGAUUGGGCUCCCAGGUCAAGAGAGCACCUUGUAUCCUGGCACUGAAAAGACACCCCCCCAC